GAUGAACGCUGGCGGCGUGCUUAAUACAUGCAAGUCGAACGAAGCGCCUCUCCCGAAGAUAGACCCAGCUUGCUGGGGAUUGAUUCACCUGAGGUGACUGAGUGGCGGACGGGUGAGUAACGCGUGGGUAACCUGCCUUAUACAGGGGGAUAACAGUUGGAAACGACUGCUAAUACCGCAUAAGCGCACAGUACCGCAUGGUACAGUGUGAAAAACUCCGGUGGUAUAAGAUGGACCCGCGUCUGAUUAGCUAGUUGGUGAGGUAACGGCUUACCAAGGCAACGAUCAGUAGCCGACUUGAGAGAGUAAGCGGCGACAUUGGGACUGAGACACGGCCCAAACUCCUACGGGAGGCAGCAGUAGGGAAUAUUGCACAAUGGGGGAAACCCUGAUGCAGCGACGCCGCGUGAAGGAUGAAGUACUUCGGUAUGUAAACUUCUAUCAGCAAGGAAGAAAAUGACGGUACUUGACUAAGAAGCCCCGGCUAAGUACGUGCCAGCCGCCGCAGUAA
RNAcentral lists this ribosomal RNA (511 nucleotides) under uncultured bacterium. RNAcentral's name for it is "partial 16S ribosomal RNA". It matches the Rfam family "Bacterial small subunit ribosomal RNA", at positions 28 to 523 of the family's 1533-position model. The record is from RNAcentral.